Molecule: ribosomal RNA, 292 nt
Filed under: uncultured prokaryote
Description: partial 16S ribosomal RNA
Rfam family: Bacterial small subunit ribosomal RNA
Source: RNAcentral
GUGUCAGCAGCCGCGGUAAUACGGAGGGUCCGAGCGUUAAUCGGAAUUACUGGGCGUAAAGCGUGCGCAGGCGGUUUGUUAAGCCAGAUGUGAAAUCCCCGGGCUCAACCUGGGAAUUGCAUUUGGAACUGGCGAACUAGAGUCUUGUAGAGGGGGGUAGAAUUCCAGGUGUAGCGGUGAAAUGCGUAGAGAUCUGGAGGAAUACCGGUGGCGAAGGCGGCCCCCUGGACAAAGACUGACGCUCAUGCACGAAAGCGUGGGGAGCAGACAGGAUUAGAUACCCCCGUAGUCC